This 294-nucleotide unclassified non-coding RNA is filed under the name Hevea brasiliensis (rubber tree). The record is from RNAcentral. Lineage: Eukaryota; Viridiplantae; Streptophyta; Magnoliopsida; Malpighiales; Euphorbiaceae.
UAAUAUUAUAAUAAUAUAAAUAAAUAAUAAAAAAAUUAAACUAAAAGAUUAAAAAUUAACUCGAAAAUAAAAAUUGAAAUUCAUAAACUCACAAUGCAAAAUCAAUUCUACUUCAAUUGGACAAAGCACAAUUAAUUUGAGAAACCCAUAGUCCUUUUCGGCCUGCUCCAUAUAACAGGCCCAGAGCUAUCCCAGAUAGUGGCCCUUUGCUCAUCUUUUGUGGAAAUCUGAAUGGGCUUCCCAAAUCAUCACAUGAUUUGCUGCCAAUUUGUAACUUGCUGGGUCCGUUUUCUG